AUUGAUGUUCCCGAUAAAUUGAAUACCGAUUGGUAUGUAUUUGCUAGGCCUGCUGGAAAACGAUGUUUCGUUGUUUCUUCAAAUGGAACAACAAUCAGUAGACUGCGCAAUGGAGUUCUCUUGCACCGUUUUCCUUCUGCUCUACCCAAUGGUGCCAGGACUAAUAACAGUAAAGCUGCUCAAUCAUACUGUAUUCUUGAUUGCAUAUUUCACGAGUCUGAUGAGACUUAUUAUGUCAUUGACGGUGUUUGUUGGGCGGGAAUUUCAUUAUAUGAGUGCACUGCCGAAUUCAGAUUCUUUUGGUUAAACAGCAAGCUUGCUGAGACGGGGGCUUGUGAUGUUCCCUCAGCUUAUCAUAAAUAUAAAUUUAGUGCUCUUCCUGUCUACAACUGUGACAAAGAAGGACUACAGACAGCUUAUGCAGGACAAGUUCCAUAUGUCAAGGAUGGAUUACUUUUUUACAAUAAGCAUGCACAAUAUCAAACAGGAAAUACACCUCUAUCAUUGGUUUGGAAGGAUGAACAUUGUAGUCAGUAUGUCAUUGAUACAGACAAUAAAGGACAAGUUCAAAGUCAACAACAGCUAGUUUUGGAGCUCCUGGAUGAUGGCAGACUGGCUACAUCUGAUGACCCUCCUGUCAUAUUUGGUUGCUUACUUGGUGAAUUCAUGCAAAAGACAGCACUUCACCGUGGAGAUCUUAUAAAAUUUGCUAUAGGUGAAGGAGGAUUAGUUGUUGUUGACAGUAAACUGGAGAAGGCUGAUCUAAAAUACCUGGGCAAAUCCAAUCGUGCACGUGCUUUUGCUGAUAGUUACUCGAAGGUCUUGUUCCAGCACGCAGCUCGGUAUUCUCCUCUGAGAAUUGAGUAUCUUUUUGCAUCAAUCAGUUCGUAUGUUGAAGGUGGAAAUUCAACUCAAGAUGCAGAGAUGGCUGGUUAAAGGUGCAAUGUGCAGGAAACACUUUUCAACUAAGCAUAUAAACUUGCAUGGUCAUGAAAUUAACUGAGUGAUGGGCAUGAUCAUUCUGACCUAUGCUUUUUCUUGUUUGGAACGUGCAUAUCUCACCAUGAAAGUAACAUUUUUGUGUCAUGUAAGAUGAGGAUAAUGGUGCGAAAGAAUACAGUGUUUUGA
RNAcentral lists this unclassified non-coding RNA (1128 nucleotides) under Hevea brasiliensis (rubber tree). Lineage: Eukaryota; Viridiplantae; Streptophyta; Magnoliopsida; Malpighiales; Euphorbiaceae. The record is from RNAcentral.